CUCAGAGAGGGUAAGGCUUCCCAUGGGGAGUCAACAAGUCUGGCAUAUCAAGAAUUUGAGGCAGGACCAAGCUCCUCCUGUAUGGAGGCUGAGCAAGGUAUUCCACCUUAGGGAAAGGGCUCCAAAAAGCCAGUUAAUGCACCAGGGAUAAAUCCUGGCCCCACUGCCAGGGGCCCCACAAACUGCCCAAGGCACACAACUGUCACCCACAUUCAGAGGCCCUAGUUCGGUCCUAUGAAGGUUCCCCAGCUGUCAGUCCAGGGUCCAUGAGCUCCCACUAGGUCGGGUCAGCUGUCUCUGUGGAUUUCCCCAUCCAGAUCUUGACCUCCCUUUCUUAUAUAGUCCCUUCUCUCUCUCUUCGACUGGACUCCAGGAGCUCAGCCUAGUGCUUCGCUGUGAAUUUCUGCAUCACGAUACCAUGAAAUUUGCAGACAAAUGGAUGGAACUAGAAAAAAAUUAUCCUGAGUGGGGUAACCCAGAAACACAGUAUGUACUCACUAGUGAGUGGAUAUUAGAUGCAAAGCGAAGGAUAACCAGGCUGCAAUCCAUAACUCAGAGAAGCUAGGUAACAAUGAGGAACCUAAGAGGGACAUGCAUGGAUUGCCCUAGGAAGAGCAAAGAGGUAAGAUCUCCUGGGUAAACUGGGGCAGGGGUGGGGGAGGGGGACACAGAGAGAGAACAAGGAAAGAGAUAUCUUGAUAGAAGGAGUCAUUAUGGGGUUAUGGAGAAACGUGAUGCUAGGGAAAUUCCCAGGAAUCCACAACAAUGACCCCAGCUAAGACUCUAAGCAAUAGUGAAGAGGGUGCCUGAACUGGCCUUCCCCUGUAAUCAGAUUGAUGACUACCCUAAUUGUCAUCAUAGAACCUUCACCCAGUAACUGAUGGAAGCAGAGGCAGAGAUCCACAACUUUCUGCUGUGUUAGGUACUAUGGUCAACAAGAAUAGGGCUGAGUACAGUGCAGUCAAAUCCAGAGAGAGAAAAAGGUCAUAGUCAUCUAAUUUUUGCUGUGGUACUUUUAAUUUUAUUAUUAAUUAUUGUCAAUCUUUUAUUGGACAUAAUUUAUAAAUUAAAUUUUAUCACAAUAUAUAUUGUGUUGGAGAUAAAAUGGCAUAUGUGAAGCUCAGCAUUGCCCACAGUUUCACUGGUGGGAGCUCACUGGACCCCUGUGGAGAGAGGGAGCUGACUAUACACUAUACUGUCUGCCUGUUUCACUGUUUAGCUCUGAAGAUUCAUGGUUGCUUUUUCCUCUGUCCAAAAAAACUAAUGUGUAGUAUCCCUCCUUGUAUUUAUCAUAUUCCUGAUAUAGGCUAUGAAAGUUUUUGAAUAAUUUGAUUAUGAUCCAGCCUCUAUCUAGAUCAGUGGUUCUCAACCUUCCUAAUGCUGUGACCCUUUAAUAGUAAUGUAAUUUUGCUACAGUAAUGAAUUAUAAUGUACACAUCUGAUAUGGAGCCCUCAAAGGGGUCGCAACCCACAGGUUGAGAAUCAUUGUACUAGAUGUAAGGAAAAUGGCCCCUUGGGGCACAUGCUUGUAGUCCCAGACACUUGGGAGGUGGAGGCAGAAGACUCUCUUGAGUUCAUGAGCUAAAGAUCAACAACACAGUAGUGAAACCUGUCCAAAAAAAAGAGGAAGCUAUAAGGGAGAAGCCCCCAUAUUUUGAGGCUCCUGAGCUUUCCUGUAGAUAUGUGAGAUAUGUUGUUUGAUGUUUUCCUAUUGCAUCUGGCCUAGAACUUCAUAAGUGGGUAGGGUGCCAUGUCACUAGAUGGGCAACAUGAAGUGGGAUGGACAGAGGGGCCAGAGCCUCAAACUGUGUUCAUAAGGGAAUGGAGGCAUGUAGCCAUGAAGGUGAUUUGAAAAGAAGUCAGCCUGCCAUAGAGUGUAGGGUGGGGAAGCAUUCUGCUCUAAAUCCCUGCUUCCCCAACCUCAUAGUACAUUUCCAGCUGCCCAUGAAGCUUUUAAGGAGCAGAGACCAGGAAGAUACAGUGAUGAUCACAUUCAUGCAUACAGUGAAGACGCUGCCUUAGCAAAAUCAGUGCCCAGAAAAGGCCUGAAAAGAAGGAGUAGUGAUGGUGUAAGGGUACUGAUCAGAAAUAGACAGUUUAUUACAUUUAUUAGUGAGCUGGCAGAGCAGCUGAGGGUGGGAGCAGGGCUAGAAGAAAUUAAUGUUUUAUUUUUUAGUUAUUGUAUGUGUUAGGAAUCUAACCUAGAGCUGUGUGCAUGCUAAACAUACCCUGUACUAUUGAAUUAUUCUCUUAUUUCCAAAAGUAUACCCUAGACCCUUGCUUAUACGUUAAGAACCUUCAGGUUGAGUUGGGCUCUUUAUUAAAGCCUGGUGGAGGAGACUUUUCCCCCACUUACCUGGUGACCCAGGAAAUCCCUUGCUCUGUGUAGCCUUAGGAGAAGUCGAUAGAGAGAAUGACCCAGGGGUCUGUUCAUUUCCUGAUGCUGACUACAUUAGUGAGCUCUAGGCUCAGGCUCUUACCUAAAAAGACAGCCAACUGAACAAGUGUGGCCAAACUCCUCAGGACUCACCACCUGGUUGGCAUAAUUUUAUCAGUACUCAAUCACGAAAGGACCAAACCAAUUAAUGACAGAAUUCAGUUACGUGAUGGCCAAAAAUACUUUUUUGCAUCUAGGAGUUAAGCCUUCUCUGAACAAGUCACUAGAAAACAAGGUGACUCAAAUUGUCCCUAUGCAAAUGAAUUUCAAAGAAAGGAGCACAGCUAGAACCCAUCUUAAAAUUCCCAAUACAAAUGUAUUGUUGAGCAAGAUAGAUGUGAGCAGAUAUCACUGACAAGUUCAGCCAUGUCAAACCAACUUACUUUCUGUUUUGGGGCAUGGGAAGGGCAUUGUGUCCACGCCCCUUCUUCCUGGACUCUCCUUACCCCAUGUGAGCAUUUAAGGACUAGAAAGUCCAUUAUGCUCACAAUGAUUCAAUAUGGCUUAUCCAUGACUCAGAGUUGGAUUGCCCUGUCUUUGCCAACAUGCACAGCCAAGCAGGACUCAUUUUCUUUGCUUUCCUUUGAAGCUCUCAUGUCUUCUUUGAAAAGUCCUUUCAGCCCACCAAAUAUGCAUGUGAUACAUUCACUGAGCUGGGGUAUAUGGGUAAUUUGUGGUCAGAAAUGCUACUCAAGAAUACUUACUAAAGUGUAUGGGCUAUUAGCUUUAGGGACCUUAGCAAAUACUGUGCCAUUUCAAUGAGGAAACUUGGUACAGUUGGGUGGGUUGCCAGCUACAUCUUGAAAGGAUACACUAAGAACUCAGAAGUGACAUCUGCCAGGAAGUCCAUGGAAGUAAUUUUGCCUCCUUGAUGUUUCUUACACGUGUCAUCCUGAAUCACAGGUCUAAGGUUGGAAAGUACCUUAAAGAUUUGUGCCCUUUUCUGUCUGAACUUGUUGUUGUCUCUCCCAAAUCUUCCCAAGUCUUCCUUAACCCCAAUGAAACACCUGUGUGUGAGGAAUGUACUGCUUCCGUGGCCUUAGAAAUGCACGUUGACUAUAUAAGUACGUAGUAGUCGAAAUUCAGUUUUAUGUUAACGCUUUUCUAAUAUUUGAACACUUGUAUUUGCUUCAACGUCUCUUAGAUUCACCUUGGUCUUUGGGCUCUUCAUUGCCUGGACUCCUUUGUGAAGCUGUUUCUGCAGUGUUGUCUAAUAGAUUGCAUGAUGUCAUGCUUGGUCCUAUCAGCUCUAAGGAGAGCAACUCAAGACAUAACUGUUUUAGGACUAGGUAUUUCACCUGGACACCAUUGAUACUACAUUUUUUUCAAUAGCAGCAUUAAAUUGUUGAUUCUAAUUAAUUCACUAUAUUUUCAAACCUAUUCUCCAGUCUCAUUUACACUCAUUGCGUGGACUACAACACUACACACACACACACACACACACACACACACACACAUACACACACACACUUACAUAUCUAUGCCACUCAGUGAGUUUAGAUCUCACUCAAGUGCCCUCAAAAUUCUCAUGUCCAGUCUCAUUUAUUUGGUCACUUAAACUUGAACAAACCAGAGGAAUAUCAAAUUCUGCACUGUUUAAAUUUUCAUCACUGUUUGCUUUCCUUAAUCUUCUGUUCCCGAGUUUCUAGCUUUGCUCAGUGCCCGAUUCCUCCUUUUUGGAUGUUUUCAUUCUCACUAUCAGCACUAUUUCAAUUGGAAACCGCUCGCGUGCAUAUCACUUGUCUGGCUCACCAAUGAUUUUGGUAAGACUACCUUCUGGGUGUUCAUGAAAGGAAUGGACACAGAUGUUGAGAUGAUGAUAAGGUCAUGUCCUGAAAGAUAUUUGAAUGUGAUUGGAGAACUGGAGACACUGGGAAAGUGGCGGAUGGGAAGAGAGAAGUAAACCUGGGAACAGGCUCUGAGCCUCCUCAGAUGCCUUAACAGUGAAUUUGCAUGAUGUCUUUCGUUCACUCAUGAUGCUAGUGACUUAGGUAAAUGCACUAACUUUGAAUAUGUCGUAAAGUGUGUGUGUGUGUGUGUGUGUGUGUGUGUGUGUGUGUGUGUGUGUGUACAUGUAAGAUAGCUUUUCCUGCAGGAUUUCAUACUGUGUAGUAUGGCUUUUUCUUUUUCCUGAAGUAUUUGAAGUUGGUCUAAGCACUAUUAGAUGCCUGGCGCUUCCCAACUAGGAAGGAAACUACCACUGAAGCGAUUGCAAAACCUUUCAGAAGUUUUGAACAUAAUUAAGUGACCCUUCUAAAAUAUCUAAAUACUUAAUGUAUUUUCUCUUUUUUGAAUUCAAUCACUGACAUAAUUUUACUUGUGAACUAUUGCAAAUAAUUUUAUAAUAUGACUCCUAGUGAGAGCAGGGUAGAAUAUAAAUAAUUGAAUAAAUGACCUAAAGUCCUCGUAAUCACAUAUCUUACUACCCUGCAGGAAUGCAUAUCCAUUUUCCACGUGUAUCAUAGUUAAGAGUCAAUGUCCAUUAUAUUUUUAUUUCUCAUCUGUUCUGCAAAUCCAGACCCAUUGCCCUUCAAUGGAACCACUUCAGUAGUCCAACUCACCCUCAGGGUAUCCCAAAUAUGCUUCUCUGGUCUUGAGAUCUCCCAGAGGUACUGAGUGGAGUCUAUUUGAAGUGCAAAGCCUUUGGGGGAUAUGAAACAUCUUACUGGGAUUAGUUUUCCUGUUGGGUUUUAUUAGAUACUGUGGGUGGCUAGCCCCAGAGUGCUGUGGGAUGUUCUGUACAUUAAAUGUGUUACUCUGAUUGAUUAAUAAAUAAAACACUGAUUGGCCAGUAGCCAGGCAGAAAGUAUAGGCGGGACAAGGAGAGAGGAGAAUUCUGGGAAGUGGAAGGCUGAGGCAGAGAGACGCUGCCAGCCGCUGCCAUGAAAAGCGAGAUGUAAGGUGCCGGUAAGCCACGAGCCAUGUGGCAACGUAUAGACUAAUAGAUAUGGGUUAAUUUAAGAUAUAAGAACUCGAUAACAAGAAGUCUGCUGUGGCCAUACAGUUUGUGAGCAAUAUAAGUCUCUAUGUGUUUUACUCGGUUGGGUCUGAGCAGCUGCGGGACUGGCAGGUGAGAGAGAUUUGUCCUGACCGUGGGCCAGGCAGGACUAGAGAAAACUCUAGCUGCACCAGAACCUCUGAGAGGCACCUGUUUCCAAAUCCCUUGAUGGUGUUAAGGUCCUUCCACCACUGCAGACAGAAAGUCCUCCCCCUCCUUUUGGGUGAUGUGGUUUGCUUUGUGGCUUCCACAAUACCCACCUAGAAUGUAGAAGAAGCAUCUCUAGGUGGAGCAAUCUUUGAUAAGUGUGAAGGAAACCAUCAGAUAAAUCCCCUCCCACCUCCCAUUCACCCAUUCAGUGGGCUAUUCAGCAAUGUAACCAUCCCUAUAUGCCCUUUUAAAAGGCUUCCUGCUCAACUAGGCAAUCAGUUCUGAUGGCAAAGUCUAGCCUGACUCAGCAAUACCUCUCAUGUGUGCAGCCUUUCCUGACUGGCCCAUUCUCCUUUGCUCUGCUCCAUGCUCCUCUGGGUUUAUACCACUCAAUAAUCUGUUAGCACGAGAGCAUUUGCCUCAGAUUCUGAUUCCUACAAACUCUAGACAAUUUCCACGAAGGUUACAUAAAGCAUCACUUCUCAAGAGUGCUGAAUGCUUACAGUGGCCUCUUAGAGAUGCACACGCUGAACCCAUGAAGUAAAAAGCCAGUCUCCUCCAUACUUAGGGACCCCUCAGUGGAAGUAUAAAAAUGGAAGCACGUGUUUCUCAGCACCACAUUUAUUCUUGAAUGUCAGUCAGCAUAGCAGGCUUUCUUUGUCCUCCUUCUCCUCUUUUGUGGAGGAGAUGGAUCUACAGUUUAUCAGUAACAUUCUUUGCUCAAUUUUUGUCUUCCGACUCAUGUCUCUGAUAUGUGGCAUUGAGUCGAGACUGUAGAAGUCAUAUAGUGAAUUAAAUCAAUUCAUGAGUCAAUAAAUGAAUGAAUGGAGUACCUCUCAUUUUUUCUAUCAAAAUUAAUAGAUUUUGAGUAAUUAAAAGUGAGAAUGGUUGUGAUAAACCUGCCAAGUCACGCAAAGUUUUAAAGGGAAUUUCCAUUCUAAAAUGUCUUACAAUUUGCCAAAUAUUUAACUUUCAAUUAUUAUUGUAUAACUGCCAAAAUAGAGAGCUUAGACAAGCAAUGCUCGUUUAUGCAUCUAACAAACUAUUGUUAAGCUCCUGGAAUGUGACUGUAAUCUUAGAGCCCUCACAGGAAAUACUGCAGUGAACCGAUUAGCCAAACCUUCCUGUGUUUGGGGGAUUGCAUUCUAUGCCAUGUCUCUCUGUUUCAAUGCUAGCUGUUACCCAGGUUUUAGAACAAAUGAUUGCAUAUUAUGAUGGUUAAGCUCUACUGUCCACCAGAUGAGAUCUAAAAUUACCUGGGAGAAGAACCUCUAGGCAUGCCUGGGUGGGGGAUUACCUUAAUUUGGUGAAGUGAGGUGAGAAGAUCUGCCCACUGUGGUUGACACCAUUCCCUAGAGAUUCUGAAGCUGAACACAAGUAUUCAUUGCGCUCUGUUCCUGCACUGUGGAUGUAUUGUGGCCAGCUGCUUCAGACUCAGGCAUUGUGACUUCCUUGCCAUGAUGGAUUGGAACCUCUUAACUAUGAGCCAGAAUAAAUCUUUCCUCCUCUUAAUUGCUUUUGUCAGGGUAUUUUACCACAGAGACAGGACAAGUUACUAAGACAAAUGUAAUAUCAAAUAAACACCUACAUGUAAAACUUCCAUAGUUUUAAAGAUAGUACCAAGUAUGUAGUCUGUACUCAAUAAAUAUUGGUAGUAAUUACCAUCAUUAUUGAUUUUUAAAUUAUUGUUAUCAAUGGCAAAGCAGGCUGGGGAAUACUACCUGAAAAAACAUACUCCACAUGAGGAUAAUGCAGGCCCGACCACAUGACCACCCUUCCAAUGCAGGCAGUACUUGCUGUGGUCUUAAGAGGCAUCAGCAUCAUGUCAUGGGUCAUGCUGCUUUCCUUAUUCCCAAACUGCUUAGGCAUGAGGACCCUGGAGUCUGCUAUCCUGAUGUUGACUCUAUAUAAAAAUGAAAACCAAACUCUACUUCCCUGUAGAGUACUGCCUCUUUGUUGCCUGUCCUUAGUAACUCUUGGGGUUUGCUAUUACUAGGUAUUGAACUUUGGAAGGUCAAUAAGCACAUGUUAAUAGAAAGAAAAACGUUAGUUACAGAUUACAAGGUCAGAACUGGGUAAAGACACAGUACAUUUCCUUGGUACAGCCAAUAGUUCACUCAUCCAUGGCCUCACCACCUGAACUCCCACAGAAGAAGGAUCGUUAAUGAGCCUAUACAGCUACAUAAUUAAACAACUAUUUCAUGUCUAUGAUAUAGGAUGCCUGUUUAUAAAAAUAACCAAUAUCAAUAUAUAUUAAAUAAACAUGCAAAGCUGAUUCUUUCUUUAAAGAAUAUCUAUAAGAUAUAAAACUAAAUUUUGAUUUGCAUUCAUAUAAAAUAGUUGAUUCAAAAUAUAAGCAAUGCCAUGUUUUCCAUGUGUAGACAUUAUAAUAGACACAAAUCUAAAGAUUAUGAUAUUUUAUGGACUAUUAUCUUUUCUGUCUCCAUAGCCUGGAAAUCACCACUUUUAGAUGCCAAUCUUGGGAUAAAAAUAUGGACACAGACUAAUCAUCCCUCUUUUGGCCUGUUCUUUGCUUCUCAAGGCUGCCAUGGAAAUUAAGUCAGAGCAUGCUCACUGCAUUUAGGAGUCUGAGAUCGGGUUGUACCCUGCCCUAAGUUACUUUCAUAUUACAUAAAGUUUUUGUUUUUAGGCUAUACUUUGUCUUCAGAGCCUCAAUUUUCCAAAUGGCAUUUGACUCCACCCUGAGGACAGAGGAUAACUCCCUCCCCUGAGCUGGAUACAUGAAUAGCACCUUCUGUCCUGAAAGCUCAUAGGAGACACAGACUGAUAAGCAACUUAUUCAUAAGUACACAAGGUAAAUUGGGACCAUGUGAGUAAAUGAGUGUAUUAUAAUCACUAGAUUAAAAAAAAGCAGGCCAGAGAGCUUGUCAAUCAAGGAAUGAGUAUAAUGCCUUCACCUGGACGCCAUAGAAAUGGACAUCUAACAGUACCAUGGCAAAGGCCCCGGGGAAAUGCCAUCCGACCACCCAGCUUCUGACUUCUGCCUCCCAGGAAGGCCUCUUUGGAACUCCUGGGACCUCUGAGUGUUAGUGUUAAUAGGUAGGUUUGGAGUGAGAGAACCUGUAUUUGCUUUGGUUGGCUCCCAUAGGAAAUUGGGACUACUUGGCACACCACUGCCCCAAAAUCUGACAUAGUUUAUGAAUUUGCAAUUAUUCAGUAAAUUCUGACAUUAUGGAAAGACACACAUGCAUCUAUUAUGUUUCUGGCAGUGUGCUCAUUACAGGGAAAUUAGCAACAUUCAUCGAAUUGCUCUUUACUAAAGAAAACCUAUAUUUCUCCUCAUAAAUAGUGUAUGCAUUGUGAAGGAUUCAUCGUUUUAUCAGCAGUCUUGGGUGGGCAGAGUUCUAUGUAUUGCUCAGGUCAAAUGAAAAUUUGCUCAGGUCCCAUAAAAAAUGAGCAAGUAUUUAGUUCAGCUAAGACAUUCAACAGGGCCACAUUGUUCUUGUAGCCUGAUGGACUUAUAGCCUGAUUUCCGCCCUAUUGUGCUACGGCAAAGCCAUUGCGGGAAAGAACCAUCCUGGACUUGCAAUACUCAAGAUGAGUAAACUACAGCUUGGAAACCUGGUCACUGAGGUGUUUAAUUUUGUCUUUUGAAGUUGUGACUUAGACGGUUGGGUGCAUGGCACAUACAACUGACACAAAAUGGUGCCAAUGAGUCAGGAUGUCUUUCUUGGCAUGUCAAGUGGUUGAGAAUGGACAAAACGGCCCGAGUUAUGCUUUAGGGCUCUAUAUGUGUCCCACCCGUCAUUCCUUCUUCAGUGGCAUUCAGUAGGAUAGAUGCUUAGCUUUAGGAAAACGGACUAUUAUUUGAAAUGGUGAGGCCUAGGAAGCUUUUAUUUGAGAAUAUUUUUUGUUUUGUUUUGUUUUUUUAAGACAGGGUUUCUCUGUGUAGUUUUGGAACUGUCCUGGAACUCAUUCUGUAGACCAGGCCUUGAAUUCAAAGAUCCACCUGCCUCUGCCUCCAGAGUGCUGGGAUUAAAGGCGUGCACCACCACCGCCCAGCGAGAGUAUUUUUUUAUGAUCAAUUACUUUUGUUUCUGAUUACAUUUGAGAAAACUUAUCAUCAACUACAUCAUUAUGAUGCCAUUGCCUUUAGAUGGAGAAACAUCAGCACAAUUUAUGGUAAUAAGCUGCUUUUCAUCUAAUAAUAUUCACAAUUAAUUUUUAGCUUCUUUCCCUCAGACCUCAUCACUGUACAGGAUGGAUUAGUAUUUGAAGCCAGUGAGGACAAUGUCACACAGUGCUGAGUGGUGUCUGUUGGUCUGAAGCAGAUACCCACUUCUCCAUUUAUUUAUUCAAUUCAUUCCUUUUCUUAUUUUGUUUUAGCUACUUGUUCAGGAGAUCUACCCUCUUCACACAUUUAAAAAAGAUUUUAUUUGCCUUCAUUUUAUGCAGAUGAGGGGUUUGCCUGCAUAUAUGUCUGUCUACCACUUGUGUGUCUAGUGCCCAUGGGGUCUAGAAGAUGGCAUUGAAUUCCCUGGAACUGGAGUUGCAGACAGUUGUUAGUUGCCAUGUAAGUGCUGGGAACCAAACCUGGGUCUUCUUCAAGAGGAGUAACUUAACUGAUGAGCCGUAUCUUCAACCUCUCAAUACCUUUAAAAUGUUUUUUUAAUGUUCAUAGAUGUAUAUAAUGUAUUUGGAUCAAAUCCACCCCACUCACUCCGGUUCCUUCCUAUAUCACCCAAUACUUUCCUCUCCUAAUUCCAUGUUCUUUCUCUCCCUCCCUCCCUCCUCCCUUCUUCGAUAUAAUACUCACUGAGUCCAUUUAGGGUUGCCUGUAUGCAUAUGGAUGUAGAAACAUCUACUAGAGCAUAGCUAGCCCCACAAGGCCUGCAUCUCAGAAGAAAACUGACUCUUCUUCCCUCAGCAGCCAUCAACUGCCUAGCUUCUUAGCCAGGAGUGGAACUUCAUGCGCCCCUCCCCCUCCCCUGCUGGAGUUUUGGCUGACUUGAUCUUGUUCAGGGCUUGAGCAUGUGUGUAGCUAUACUGUCAGGUCAUGUCAUAUCCUGUCAUGUCACUGCAGACAUAUACUCCCCCUUGGCUCUUACAAUCUUUCUGCACCUUCUUCUCCGGUGAUUCCUGACCUUGCUGUGGUAUUGUGUUCCCUGAAAUAUUGUGCAUGCUAAUAGACUUAUCUGGGGUCAGAGACAGAACAACCACAAUAUUAAACAUAAAGGAUAGGCAGUGGUAGCACACGCCUUUAAUCCUAGCAUUCCAGAGGCAGAAAUUCAUAUGUUCAAGGAUGGUGAUUCAUGCCUUUAAUCCCAGAAAGUGAGCCUUUAAUCCCAGGGAGUGAUGGCAGAAAGCAGAAAGAUGUAUAAGGCGUGAGGACCAGAAACUAGAAGCAUUUGACUGGUUAAGCUUUCAGGCUUCUAGCAGCAGUUCAGCUGAGACCCAUUCUGGAUGAGGACUCAGAGGCCUCCAGUCUGAGGAAACAAGACCAGCUGAGGAUCUGGUGAAGUGAGGUGGUUCUGUCUCUCUGAUCUUCCAGUGUUCACCCCAAUAACUGGCUUCAGGUUUGAUUUUAUUAAUAAGAACUUUUAAGAUUCCUGCUACACCUUGCAUCCCUGAGCUUGCAAAUUUAAUUUUUCUCUUUAAUGCUUUUUUUUUUAAAGCAUUUGCUUUUCCAGGACUCUUUCUUCUUGCAUGACUGGAACUCUGUAGCCAUUGAUAGCAACUCCUCAAUCAUCCUCUCCCCAGCAACUGACAUUCUACUUUCUGCUGCUAUGAGUUUGAUUUAUUUGUUUGUUUACUCUUUCAAAACCAGUACCUUGCAUACAGUGUGCAAGCACUCUACUACCAUGCUACAUUCCCAGCUCAGUUUGGCUACUUUAGAUACCUUGUAUAAGUGGGAUCAUAGUAUUUAUUCUGCUUUCAUUUAUCUUAGGGUUCAUCCUCAGAGUUCCUCUCUGUAGUAUAUGACAGAAUGACUUUUCUUAAGGCUGAAGAGUAUUCCACUAUAUGCAUAUACAUCCUCAUCCAUAUACCUGUGGAAAUGAGGACACUUCCGUCUCUUGGCUGUUGUGAGUCAUGAUAUGAUAAACGUGGGGAUCAAGUAUGUUUCUGGAAUAUUAACUUCAGUUCCUUGGGAUGAAGGUCCAUCCAACAGCAGCAUUGCUCAGUUGCAUGCCAAUUCUGAUUUUUGAGACACUGUUUACAGCAGUGGCUCCAUUUCACAUUCCCAAUAGUGAAGGAGGGCCUCAGUUUGUCCAAGACAUAAAAACACUUUCCAUUUGCUGUUGUGAUAAUGGUAGUCCUCACAGGGGUGAGGUGAAGCCUCUGUGUAUUUUACUUAGCAUUUCUCUGAGGAUUAGAAAUGUCAAUCAUCUUUCAUUUGUGUAUGCUCUUUGAAGAAAUGUCUAUUCAAGUCCUUUGGCCCUUUCUAAAUUAGGUAAUUUCUAUUUUUGCUUUUGAGUUGAUAUGAGUUCUUUUUAAUGUUAAUCCCUUUGUGAGUAUUUUCAGUUUCUGUUAUACCAUGUGCUGUUUACAUGUAGUCUUUCUGGGCAAGGCUCUGCCUUGCCAAUAAAUGUCAGACUCUCUGAUACAUUCAAGUCUCUGCAUUUAUGGCAUGAGCCUCAUGUCUUAGAGGACAAUGCUAUUUUAAGUAUACAUAUUUUAUCAGGAAAAGCCAAACAUCAGCCACAAGGUACUCAUGUUUUUGUUGAUUCAAUUCCUAUCACUUUCUUUGGCUCAGAGCAAGAAUUGAGUAUGAUGUGAUACCAGACAUGGGAUCUAGUGGUCAGAGUGUUGCCAGGUGAGAGCAUGAGGCAUAGCUUCUGAGACAGGAUUUAUGUAGAAGUGCACCCCAGGGCCUCCCGAGUCAUGCUAAAUAGCGGGAAGAAGGAGAUGAAGGAAUGGGAUGGAAAGUUUCCGUGUCUGGGGAUGGAAAAGGCACCGGAGGUAAGAUUCUGUCCAUCUAUUUAGGGAAAGCAGUUGAGCCCUGUAAUCACGCCUGGGCAGCAUAGAUGCCUCUUUACAAGGUAGUGUGUGGAGAUCAGAUGCACAUCCAGCUAAUUCAUGAUGCAGCCACAUCAUCGGGGUCCAGGAGCAAGUGACUGCACUGUUUUGAGAAAUGGAAAUAUAUAGUGCUUCCCAAACUCUAGUCCUUGGCAAGAAAAUACCAAGUUGGUUUCUGUGCUACUUUAUGGCUCACUUUAUCAUUGAAUGGCUUGGGGAAGGGGGAGGCAGUCUAGAUAACCUUGCAAGCAAAUCCUUUAAGCCUUGAACCCUGCCUUUUCCUUUAUGAAAACCAAGAUAACCACAUGGACCAAAAGGCCAGGACUGGGACAAUCAUCCCCCGUCUGAGGAAUGUUAUGGACACGCUAUCUGUAGUUAUCCUAAUUAUUUUUCUUCUGCUAUCUCAACAUUGUGAAACUUCUCAUGGGGAAACUUAUUUCAAGUUUUACCAUUUUAAAAGAUACAUGUUAUGAAGUCCUUUGGACACAGACAAGGGAGUUGUGAAACUCAAACAGAGCGGCAGAUGUUGCUUCUCUGCUGGGGCCAAGAAUCAACAGGAGAAGAGGCCAAGGCUGCCAAGCAGCCCAAGGGGAUCCUGGGAAACGAGGCCUUUUCUUCUUUUCUCCCAGGGACAAUUGAGGGACUCCCAUGAAGAAGAAAAGAAGCCAAGCCAAAGAAGAUUUUUCCUAGCCAGACAAUAUGGAUAGAAAAUACUGUCGUAUUUCUGCAUUUCAUAAUUACGUUUAUCCUUAUUUAAUUCAAUCUCUAUUCAUAUAUACAUAAUGUAUAUAGGUACACACACACACACGCACGCACACACACACACACACACACACACACACACACACACACACACACACACGGAGUAUUGCCCAGUUGCCCAAAGAAGACAAUUAUCCCAGUGCUGUGGGAGGUGGUGGGAACCAGAACUACAGGGCUUGCUGGCUGGCUGUGGGCUCAACAAGAGACCCCAUCUCAGAGGAAUAAGACAGGGUACUGGACAUUAUCCUCUGGCUUUCUAUCAGCAUACACACAUGUGUGUAUACCACACACACAAAUACCACACUCAUACCAAAUAAUGUAAAUAAAGGGCCCAAACCCUGCAAAGAAAGGAUGCGACGAAUUUCAGUCCUUAGGAGACCAAGAAUGAGGAAAGGUGGAGAGAAAAACACUUUGCCACUGAUGUUUGUGACACUCCGUUGUUGACCCGUCAUGCCAUAUUGGUCACACCUUUAACGCACAAGCCUUCUUUUUCCUCGGUGGUAGAAUGUGAACAACCGGACUCAGGGAGCAGAGGGUCGGCGUGGAGAGUUCUCAGACACGUCGUAGUAAGAGAACAGUGAGAGAAGAGGAGGAAGGGAGAGAGGAGGAGCAGGGAGGAGAGGUGGAGAGAGGGAAAGAGGUAGCUAGGGACAGAAGAAGUAGAAGGAAGCAAGUACUGUUUACAGAGCCCUUUUGGAGAGUCAGGCCCUGGGAACCUCUGUGAGGCUGGGCUGAAAGUCGGGUCCUUCUUUCGCUAGCUGCCCCAGCUCACUCACUGGCUCAUUGUUUGAUAUUGGGGAAUCAUUUAAUCGGGGGAUGACUGUCACUGUGGGUGUAUACAGUCUGUACUCUUCUGUCCCUGGUCAGUGCUCUGGGUGAGACGACCUUGAGGUCCCCUUUGGCUCUAAUUUUCUAUGAUAAAGUUAUGUUCUCUGUGCUGGUGGUGCCUCUGGAAUAAAAAGAAAAGAGCAAAGCCUUGGGCUCCAGAAGGCUUCACAUGCUCGGAGAUUUGCAAUAGAAAGUUAAUGUUCACGGGUUAGGCUUGCUAGGAAAGGCGACUCCCCGUUUUCAUACUUCCUUUUCUGCAGAAGCUUUUAAUUUAGUAGAAUUACGUUGCUUUUUUGCUGCCCAACAGCUGUCAAACAUGGGUGGACUUUUUGAAAAUUCUUUAAUCAUCUAUUUUCUUACAUUCUCUGUCUAAAAGCGACCUUGUAAGAAUUGCUAGAAAUUUAAGCUUUUUCCUUUCAUUUGAUUUGGUUUUGGGGACCAAUAGCUAGAUAGAUACAGAUGUCGUUGUUCACAGUGAGCCAGACGCUGAGUACUUUCAGCAGGUGCGGGCUGUAAAAGCAAUCUUGUUUAAUUGUCUUGUGUAACAGUUGAAGAUGCUUGGGCUCAGAGAGGGAAUGUGUCUAAGGCAGGGUUACACAGGAAUGGACAAAGACCCCUGUAUUUUUCAAGCAUAUGUGUCUCUCACUUUCCAUUUCUCUCUUGGGAGAUGGAGCUAACUCCUCUACUCUUGAAUCUGUCUGCCUCAGAGAGUAACACUGGAAAACACCAAGUCUAAGCUGUGAGGGACUGGAAGUUUCUGCUUGUGUGUCUUGAGGUGUUAUCUUAGAGUUAGUCCCAAUGCUGUAUUGUAUGCUGUGAGAAGCCCAAACUGCAUGGGAAGGCUGCUGAGGAAGUAAGUCAAAUGUCUCUAGCAAGCUUCUGUCUCCUAGCCAACACCUAGUCCUGGCCCACAGAGGGAGUUUCAUGGCCAUCCAGCUCAAUUGCUCCUUCAGAAGACCCAAGCCCUGGUUAUUACAUAGGACCACACAACACCUCAGGAGAGAACUCACCUGGAGCCCAGUCACCCACAGAGCCAUGAAAGGUACUGAAUAGGUGUUUCAGGAUACGCGUGCUGUGCUGGUUUAGCCUGCAGCAGUAGGUAGCUGGAACAUCACCCUCCCCUUCUUGGGGUUUGAAGGGAUAACUUAAUUAGCAUAUGCAUUUCAGUAAUUGGGCAGAUUUGAAAGUGACAACUAUUCGUUUGAGUCUAACUGGAAGAAACAACUUAAUGUCAGGAUUUCUCAGAUUGUAACUUUUCAUUUUUCGCUUGUUCAGAAAAUGUGUGUCUUUUGUUGAUGGCUGCAAUGUUUAAAAGUGGACCAAUGAGUUAUGCAUAAGCAGAAAUGUGUAUGAUUGUCCAAAAGAUAGUCUGAAGUUGCAGAAUUAGCCAAGAUAUAAAACCUUUGUACCCCACUUCAUCUUCCAGAGUCGAUCUGGAUGUGAUGGGGAGAGUCGCAGCCAGUAGCUUGGAAAAUAAGGGGAUAUUGAUGGCAGAAGUUGCAGCAAAGGGGAUCUAACCAGGACAAAGGAAAACACGUUUUGUGCUUAGCAGUGAUUGAACUUAAAGUGGGGAACUGGAUACACAGACGCUGACAUUGCUUGGGAAGUCAGACUCAAUGACCGGAAAACUUAGAGGUCAGAACAGCUGGCAGCCAUGACCAGUGCCAAUGGAAAGAAGCAAUGAUGUCAAUCCUUUCCCAAAGCCAGGUGGCUGUGCAGCUCUCAGGCUCCUUGUCUUGUACAGCUGCCAGCCUGUGAGAGCUGCUGAGACCUUCCACUAGCCAGGAUUGCAGUCAUCCACAUGGAUGAUGGUGUCCAGCCUCUCUGUCACUCUCAUCCCGCAGACCGAAGACUCCUUACUGCUAUGGCGCUGGAGUAGCGGAGUGAGUAUCCUGUUUAAGCCACUGUGCUGUUGCCCUAGGUACCUGGGUCUUACACGGUUUCAGUUUUCCUCUACCGGUUUCUCAACAAAUAAACUCAUGAUGUAGUUCCACACUUGGUGCCUGGUUCUUUCGUCUUUGUGGAGGAGCAGGAGAAUGCUGGAUACUUCUGUCCAGCCAUCUUGAAACCUCUGGUAACAAUGUUUUUGACCUGGAUCAAGUUUCUUGAAGACCAUGCUUUAUCCACACUGGGUUAUGAGGGUUCGCAUGACCCAAGAGACCUGUAAUGAUAAGGAUGAUGUAUCCAAGGAAACUGAUUCCCCCUCCCCCAAAGUCUAUCCCAUUCCUUCUGCCCUACCUUACCACCCAUGCUUUGGUCACGAGUGAGAGCCUGGCUUUGCAAUGGGGCAGAAAUGUGAAAAUCACCUCCAGGGCAAUUUUUCCCCCAAAAUAGAAUCUUAGAAAUGAACUUGCCAUCAAUAGCAUCCUUUCUCAUUUCACUUUAUGUGAGUUCAGUCUGGUGGAGAUCUGGGGCACUUGGCCCAGGAUGGAGUUCCAGGGUCUGUUGCUGACUUUGUGUUGCAGUGGGGAUGUCUCCUAGUUUGUAUGGAAUAAAGAGGGAUCAAGAGUUUGUCCACAGAUAACAGUAAAUGAGGCGCCAAAAAACAAGAUGCAAAGAACGAGCUAGACAUGAAACAUCGAGGUAAGAAGCAGAGGGGUGAAGACCGAAGCGCUGGCCUGAGGCAGCCACGGACCCAGCAGAGCAGUGCUGGACCAGAGGCUCUUUUGGGAAUGGAAGUCCAACUUCACCCUUUUCAUGGAGAUCCUUAUAUGCACGCUUGCAAGGUUUCUGGUGAACAGAGGGUACUUCUGCAAGAAUCCUGCCAAUUGGGAAACACAACUCUGGCGUUUUUCAUCUUUCUUCUAAAUGACCUGCGGCUAAUUCCUUCUCAACUCCCACCUCACAUAACAGCUCUUUGCCUCUUUUUUCUCCCUCUUGAUGCAGAACAGAGAUGGUUUGCCUCCUAGUCUGGGCUGAUUUUCAACUGAUUUUGAGGUCAGUGUUCCCGGUACAUCAAAACAAGCAAAUGGCUUCCUGUGUCUCCCCUCCUCCUUAGAAUGGGCCAUCCUCCAUGGAAAGCUUGCCAGGCCACUCCAGGUGUCCAGUGACAGGCAUGUAGGCAGCAUCCUCAACAUGAAAGCUGGUAGACAGCCAUUUGAAGGCAGGGGUUAUGCUGGAGAGGGAAAGGGGAGGAGAAGCAUGUUCUCAGCUCAUGUUGAUUUCUGUCAGACUUCAGCUGAGGUUUGUGAAGAGAUAAUUGUGUUAUAUUUUCUCAUCCUUCACAGCCUGGUGGUUCCUGUAUAAUUAUACACGCCCGAGCUUAAUAUUAUUUCAGAAAGAGGAAAAGAUACAGCAGAUUUUUAGCCUCAGGGUUCUUAUGAUUGGGGACAGAUUUUACUCUCACAAAUUUCAUUCUUUUUUCGCCCCCCUUGCAAAGAGUAAUUGUAGGGAUGUGGCUCACAUGGGGAGCCAGCCAUUGGGGCUAUUUUUGGAGCAUAGAGGAAGAGUUGCCAGGCUAAGGGAGCAUAUAUCAUUUAGGACCCGAUGACACACAGAAGUGGCCCUCCUGUGUUUUAGAUGGCAGCCUGGGAAAUGAUGAAUCUCUCUGCCUCCUGCCUCUGGCACCAGAAGGUAACGGGGUUUAGCUUGUGAUAAAAAUCAUAUUUGAAAAAGUUCCCUGUCUUUCUGAUAAGCAAGUUUUAAAAAUUUAGGGGUAUUUCUGAAUGUCAUUUAAUUUUCUCCAUUUACAUUAUUAAUGUGUUUAAAUAUUAUUCAGUUAUAUUUAUUAUGCUGUACUGAAUUAGUAUGUUCUUUAUUGACACACUGCCUAGAGUGGAAAACAAAAAGCCAAACCUCAAACUAAGUGAAAUUUUCAUAUUGAUAUUACAUCAUUAUCCUUAUUGAACCAGAAAAAAAGAAAACUGGAGCAAUUAGGAAAAAAAACACAGUCAAAAUGUUUUUAUUAACAUCCUUAGUACAUGUAUUCAGGAAUGCCAAUAAAAAUUUCAAUGCAACCUGGUGAUAGAAUAAAUUACAUGCAUAAUAUAAUUAUUUCAAGUUAAUUAAACUAUUAUUAUGAUAUGCAUUUCAUGAGGCAGCACCCCAUGCUCCUCACUGAUUUCUCUACUUUCGGGCUUCAGACUCACUGUGAAUGACUUCAGUAAACAGCAUGGGUACGGCCUCCUUUUAGAAGUUUCUGUGGUCAGCUGUCGGUUAGAGCCUUAGAUAUCUCCACCAAAACGUCACUAAGAGUCAAAAUCUGGUAGACGACAGUGAACUGCCCAGGAAGCCCACUAUUCCAUGGUGCUGGGCUCAACUGUGGCAAGACGGCCAGGCGUGUACCAAACUCACUAGUAUAGGCGUGUACCAAACUCACUAGUAUGGAUGCUGGCUAUGAGCUCACACUCUGAAGCCCGGCUCCCUGGUUUCAAACCAUGGCUUCCUAGUAACUGUCAACAAGUUGUUUAACCUCUCUAUGCACUGAUUCCCGUGUGUGUGUGUGUGUGUGUGUGUGUGUGUGUGUGUGUGUGUGUGUGCAAGUGCCUGUGUGUGUGUGUGUGUGUGUGUGUGUGUGUGUGUGUGUGUGCAUGUGUGUCCUGCAGGGUUGCUGGAAGACUUAUAUGUGAUAUCACAAGAGGGUGUUAGGCGUUGUCUCUGCAUCCCCAUUGGUACUGUUUUGAGCGAUGUUUGGCAUAGAGUCCUCAUGAUGCAGUUGCCUGCUAGUACCGCUAUCUUCAUGCUGUUUGGCACAGAGCACAUUCUCAAGGAAUAGUAGCAACUAUGUUUACACUCCCUUGGGUGUCCACAAAGCAGAACGUCCUUACUUCCUAGUCUACUGAGGAGUGGGGAUCUUAUUCCUCUGCCAUUUAUGUUCACCCCGAGUCCUAGCCUUCUGUUCAGCCUGUUUGCAAGGCCAAUAAAUGCCUCUCUCACACCUCUUCUCUUCCAGGUUACUGCCUCCACAAUUAGGUUUGGAAACUUAAAAACAGUGUGGCCUCGAAACUGCUAUUCCCCUGCCUGGUGGUGGUGGGGCAUACCACCCUGGAGGCAGAGACAGGAGGAUCUCUGUGAGUUCCAGGCCAACACAGUCUACAAAGCUCUGGGAAUCACACUCGGGGUCAUCAAGUUUGACAAUAAGUACCCUCGUGCACCAAGUCAUCUCACUGGCCCUCAAGACAUGUUUUAAAGGGUAAUUAAUUAUUUCUCAGAGCUUGUACCAUGUUCUCAGUCAUGAAUCUACCCUGUGUGUGAGUAAGAUUGAAUGCAGAAAACAUGGUUUUCAGGAUGUGACGGAUCCCAUGUAGGAGUGCAUAGUGUAAUAGAACGGAUAUUUUAGAGUGUGACUUGUGGAAGGUUAAGGAGACAUAAACAAGGGCCGAGUUUAUUCUUUUCCUUCUCGAGGUGGUCAAAAGGGAAGGAUUUCCAGGGGUGUUUCCCAGCCAGUGACCAUGUGAGCAAGGUCUUGAAGGAGACACACAAAUAUCAGUAGCUGGGGAGUGACCUGGAGGUGACAUGGCCAAAGGUAGAGAAAGACUGAAAGCAUUUGAAAUGCUCUGGGGACUGGACAAGAAAGGUGCUUAGGUAAACUGACUGGCUAUCAUACACCAGGAGCUGGUUCACAAAACUGAUAUAAAGCUUAGUUUCCUAAAACAAUAUAUUCCCGGUCUUCUGCAAGGCAUGGAGACUGGUAGCAGCUGGAAAGUCGUGUCCAUCCAGGUCAGCCUCGAAGGAAGCUUGUUAUAACAGACCAGUGUGCUGUGCAGCAGGGAACAUGGGUAUUUCCUUCUUGAGAAGAACUGAGAAGACAGGACAGAUGCAGAUGGGGAUGAGAAGGAAUCUGAUGGAGGAAUGUACCUAUGUGUGUGAACAGACAGGUGUGAUCAUCCUGUGGAAGGAAAAGGGGGCGGGGCUGAGAGAGCAGGGUGCUUAGAGUCCUGAACAGAAGCCAUGGAAGAUGACCGUGGAGGUCUACUUAUUGUCAAGGGAGACUUGGCAGCUGGCAUGAGAAGUCUAGGUCAGGGAUGAGAAACUAGGGAGGACUGUCCUCGCAUUGUAACCACUCAUCAUGUGGAUGAAUGGCUUCCCAGCAUGCGUCCUAGUGUGAACUACGCUAGGCACUGUGUCCAGCACUCCGGACCCAGAGAAAAACAGAAACAGUCUCCCUCCAGGAACUUGUGGCUGAAUAAGAUGGAAACUUGUGAACAGCUCCAUGUGCGUAAGUGCUACAGCCAGGAAGACAAAGGAGUAUGUGUGAGAAAUGUUAGGGGCUCUGAAGAAGAGGUGAAGCUUUGCUGCGUGGAGGGUGAGAGUGCCAGGAAGAUUUCCCAAAAGCGCUUCUGCAGAAGUGUCUGAGGUGAAUGGCCAGGCACUGGGGGAGGGGCACAAAAGAGCAGCAAAACAGUAACAAUUAGGGGAGCUCUGGAGGUACCCCAACACUUAGCAGCUUUUCUAUGUUUGAUUCUUUCUUUCUUUUUAAAGAAGAGUUACAGAGAAGGAAAGGAGAAGUGUAAGUGGAGAAUCACACCACCAUUUAUUUCUGCUCCAGUGCGAGGUCUGAGCACGGUGUGUGGGUGGAAGAAAGGGAGGGGGACUGCUAGCCAUGGUGGCGCAAAGAGCCACUAAAGUCAAAGCUCCACGAACAGGAACCAGAGCAGGGAGAGCCUGGGAUGCGGUGGGGGUGCAGACAGACAAGGCCGGAACGAACGGGUAGGGAGAGGACCCAUUCUGAAGAUCAAAGAACUAUGAUAGUAAAGUGUGGGAAGAGACACUUUCCAACUGCCAGAGCAUCUCCAGAGGGCUGAAGUGACCCCAGCCUCUUGGGCUUGGAAAAAUCUCUGCACAGAGCAAGUGUCUGGGAAGAGAAGCAGCCUCCCUAGAUGUUGCCUGGAUGUAGCUCUGGGACCUUGGGAAUUCCCUCCACGUACAACUUAUAAAGCGCUCAGACUUUUACAGGAAGCUGCCCAAACACUACAGACUACAUGAUUUCAUUCCUCCCAUGUUGACUUGUUGAAGCCUAAAACACACAGGAUGGAAUUUGGAGGUGGGGACUUCAGAGGACAUUGAGUCAUGACAGUGGUACCUCCAGACAAAAGAGAUUGGUGUUCCUAUCGAAAGUCCCUAGAGAUGCCCCUCAGACCUUUGGAGACACAUCAGAACAUGGCCAUCUAUGAGCCAGGAAGUGGUCCUUCACUAGUCACCCACAAGCCAACACCUGAACCCUGGACUUCCCACAUUCCAGAUCUGUGGGUAUAACUUGACGUUGUUGUUAAGCCAUCUUGUGUAUGGGGUUUUGUUGUUGUAACCCAAGCAGGCUGAAUGCUCUUUGUGCAGCGUUGUAGGGAAUGUGAGGCCUGACAUGCUGGAUAAUACAGCCCCACGCAGGUCUUCACCAUCCUGUCCUUGAACACCAUUUGCAUGCUGCUCCAUGUGACCGUUUACUGUCUCAGAAACUCAAGUCACAGGAUUGUCACUGUUCCAACUGUCCUUGCUUUACAAUCGACCAGCCUAUAAUUUGGUGGCUUUGUUUUUUUUUUUUGCUCACAGAUUCUGUGAAUUUGGAGUUUGAAUAGGCCAUGACAGGGGGAGUUUUUGUGGUCCAUAAUUUCAGUUGCUUCAGCUGGAAAGGCAGGAAGGCUGGAGGUGAUAGGAAUAAUCUACCUGCCACUUUAUGCCGACUCUAAGGCUAACUGGCCUCAGAUAAGGCUGCUGACUGGAUCUCCUGGAAACAACUCAUUCAUGUGGCUUAGGCUAGCUCCCAGGACAGCAGUGUAGACAUCUCUCGGGGUAACUGAGCUUUUCUCUGCUGCCAUCUGUUUAGGAAUGUAUAAAACCAUAGAAGAGAUAUGAGGAUGGUAACAAAUUGAGAGGGUAUUUUUCUCUUAAACACUUAAACUAUAUUAAUAUAUAGGUGCUUCUCUUGCUGCUUAUGUGAUAGGCACAAACCCCGGAUGUACAGAGUAUGGAGGAAAAAGAAGAGGUGUAGGGAAUCCUCACACUGGUCAUGGAAGGAAGAAGCAGAAUCUUAAGAGGAAUUGAGCUUAAUUCAGCACUAUAGUCUGCAGACUUAGUGAUGCACACAUGUACUGUCAUUGCUUAUUCUUGCAUCCCCUGCACAGUUCAUUAGGGAGAGGGGCCAGGAGGCCAGGAAGUCUUGCCCUCAUUCUGAAGUGUUCUGUGCUUUGCAACCCUCCCAGUUCUCCUAAAUGGCAAUGAAGGGAGAGGUGACUGAGCCAGGGUUAUCCCUUCAAGGCCACAAUGAUUCUGUCCGUCAACCUGUUCCUAAAUAGAAUACCAGCGGAUUCUUUCUCACAGGCUUUCACGGGAUGCUGGCCUUGCCUCGGCACACAGACUUGUCUGGGCCCGACUUCCUGAGGCAGGAAGGUGGUUCUAUUUUUUGUUUCCUCUCACAGCAGUGAGGAAGCAAACACUCUUAGGGCAGGAAGUCUGAGCAGGAAUUUGUCGACAAAAGCUUUUUUGUAGGUUUGAGGAAAAGGUGUCUUACAAAUUUCCUCUGACAGCUGGCUGACCAUUUCCCUGGAAAUACACAGGAUGUCUGACUUCCAAUGCCGUGGGAACAUUCACUGUGGACAAGCACCCAAUUUUAGAAUAGCAAUAUUUGUGAUCUAAGAAUUGAGAUGGGGGUGGGGUGUAAGGAUAGAGAGAAAUCUAGAACUCUGGGUUUGUUGUGAAUAUACUGGGCUGUACUGGUGAGCAACUGAUCAGCUCUUCUACGCUAAUGUGUUCAAGUUUCUUUUAAAAAGAAAAAUUACCCUGGAGAGAUGACUCAGUGGUUAAGAGUACUUGCUGCUCUUGCAGAGGACCUAAAUUUGGUUUACCUAUGUGGUGGUUUAUAACCACCUAUAACUCCAGCUUCAGGGAAUCCAAUGCCAUCUUCUGACUUCCAUGAACACCAGGCAUGUAUGUGGUACACAUGCAUACAUAUGCAAAGACACUUAUACACAUGAAAUAAAAAUGUCUUUAAGGAAAAAGAGACAAAACAAAUUUCUCAGCCCAAGACUGCUCAAUGGACUCUCUAGUUUUGUUCUUCUGUCUGACUGCAGUUUUGGCUUCCUAAAGAGUUCAAAGGAAAUACAGAAAAGAAAACAAACACCCGACUAAGGAGAGGAAAGGGAAGAAAUGAAAGGCUGGGAACACAAGGACUUUGAGCCCCUAAGAACUGAGGAUAUGCUCUAAUGCUGCAAGAACAGACAACACUUCCCUUCCUGUUUUUUCUUGCGCCUACUCAAAGCAGCAAUCUUGACUUUGAGGAAAAGAAAGUUAUGUAAUAUGGCUCACCAAGUCAACAGGAGUAUGCAUGGCAUUGCAUCCGGUGUACAGGACAAAGAAAGACAUUAUUAGGAACUACAAAGCGUUUUGGAAAGAUGUGAUGGAAGGUCUUCCAAAUAACACCAGCCUUUGAAUGGCUGCUCUCCUCACCUCGGUCAAAGCCAAGAAGUAAAUUCCUUUACGGCAAUCAUAGCAGGAGUUGUGUACACCCGUGCUUGCUGAGGUCACUUAUGAAGUGUGCCCAGUCUUUCCAUCUGUCCUUCCCAUGAGUGGAACUAUGGUGACCAACACAUAGAAUUGAUAGACGGGUUCAACUUGAAAGAUACUGCACAGAGAGAGCCUGGGAGCUCUGCAAUAGGUUGCUUGGUUCAGUCCUGGGAAGUCAUUAGUCACCUCAGACUGGUGUGGCUCAAGUGAGGAAGAGGGAAGCCUGUCUUAGGGAGUCAGGAAGCAGGACCAAGGGGCGUGGCAACCGUGGCAAAUGGUUUAGUUCAUCCACAGUACAGUUCUUUUUUUCACCUUUUUCAAUUAAGAAAUUCUACUGGGCUGGAGAGAUGGCUCAGCAGUUAAGAGUACUUACUGCUCUUGUGGAAGACCCAAGUUCAGUUCCCAGGACCCCUGUCAGGCAGUUCACAGCCACCUGUAACUCCACCUUCAGGGGGAUAUGAUGCCUCUGGUGUCUGUGGGUAUCUGCUCUCAAAUGCACAUACCCACACACAGAUACAUGUACAUACACAUAUUUAAAAAUAACUUUAAAAGUCUUCAGAAAAAAAAUCAUCCUAGGAGAAAGAAUUACUAUCCUUACUGUUUCCUGACGCAUGUAAUUGGAGCCUACAAAAUAUCCUAUAAACACAGGCAUUACCCCUCCAGAGCCCAGUAGUUAUUUAGUUAAGAGAUCCUCUCAAAUAACUCAGUACAACAGAAUUUCCCUCUAGGUGUCAUUGUGCAUGCAUGUGUUUCUGGGGGUGCAACCUGGGCCCCGAACAGGCUAGACAGGCACUCUACCACUGAACUACACACUUAGCCCCCACAAAAUAGGUAUAGUCCAGAUUGGUCUUGAACUUGAGACCCUUCUGACUGAGCCUCUUUAGCAUCUUCCUUUUGGAGGGCAGCAAAGCGGCUGGCUUGUCCCUGUGGAUUUGAGCACAUCAUUGGUGCCUUACUACUUCAAAACAAGUUACCUCAUUUUAUGUGUGUGUGUAUAUCAACAUGGAAAGUGAAUAGGAAUCACUGUAAGUACAUGUUGCUUUGUAUAAUGACAAAAUGUCAAGGGUAAGAACUGCUUCACUGUGAAGCUCUGUUAACAUAUCCAAUGUCAUUCAUCUUUAGAUUUUCUCUAACCCUCAUUUCUGGAUUUUUAUUCAUGAGAAAAAUAUAAGUAGUUAAGAUAAAGAAAUAUGACUCAGUAAAACAAAAGCGGACUCAUAGGUCAAAAGGCUUGGGUUCUGGUGCCUUGUGGUUUUCCUAACAGCCUGGGUGUCUAUGGGCUACUCCCUUUUCAUUUUACAACAAGAAAGAUUGGUCAGAUCAGUUUAAGGACUGUACCAUUUGCCUGAUUUUCUGAAUGAGAUAGGCAUUUUCAAACUUUGUCUUCUCCCUUCCGGGCCCCUAGAAUGUGCUGGCAAUUCCCAUGGUUGUUUUUCAACUGAAUUCAACAACAAGCUGAAGUCUUUGGAUUGAUUUUGUUCCCAGAAUGUUGGUGAAGAAUUAUAAGCACUAUAUUGUCCUAUGCUCUGGGUCUUAAUGAUCCAGGAGCCUAAAUUUCAGGGUUUUGUUUCUGGACACCAUUAGGUCUGCUGUAUGUUAAUAAAUAAACAUCGUCAAAUCUCCUAAGCAUAUUACCCUGCAAAAAUGAAAUAUGGCAGAAUCCUAAAUCUGAUACCUCGGAGAUCUGUCUUAGACCUAUACGGCAUUGGUAAGUCAGUUCCAGUGACUCUGAAUUGAGGCAGAAUAAAGAGUUGCUGGCCAGGAGUCAGCCAUCCCAAGCAUCUCACUGUGCUCUAGUAAGUUUCUAUUUCGGAACAUGACCAACUGUUUGCACAGUGAGCCUCCCUUGUGAGAAUUGGCUCUGUGUGACUUUUAGGGGCUCCUACUGCUCACUCAACUAAGGGAGCUGAUGUUUGUUAGGUACCUACACUGUAGCAGACACUGUUGAAUAUCUUGUAUGUGGUACCUCUUGGUUCACUAAAAUUCCUUUAGAGUAUUUGGAUCUCCAGUGUCUUCUGGAGAAUGUAGCCAUGUGAAUUUGAAUCUACUUCUGAUCAUCACAUAGCACAGGGUUGUCUCAUCUCAAUCAUUCACUAUGCCCGAAUAUAUAUCCUUGAUUUCCCACUGGUAACUUUGAUUGUUCCAAAGGAUUCAUUUAUUCUGUAAGCAAUAAUUCUAAUGCUGACCUUUCCUUAGUCUAUUGCCUCAAUCUGGGUGUAAUGUAGCCAGCUUCAUGGAGUCUUUUGAGAUUUACUCCAAGUUUGUGUAUCCUAGUACUCAAAACAUACAUAUUGAAUUUAACUCAUGUCAUUUGGUUAAAAUAUAGGGUUUAAAAGAAAUUGGCAUUUAAGAAGUGUGGUAAAUAUGUGUACUAUGGAGAAUUGUCUUAUGUGAGGGUUGUUAUAGCAAUGCAUUUGGACAUAUUUGGGACUCAUUAUAAAGAGAGAGGCAAGACAUUCUAAGAAAGGUGCCCAAAGAGUGAACUAAUAACAAAAUAUCCUGGCCUUUCUGAUGUUACAACACUGUGAUUGGUGGAUGAAACAGAUGAGUGCCAUUCAAUGAAGAUCUGGCUAGUUUUAGGUUUUAGUGAUGCAUUAAAGAUGGCUAAUUUCAGAAACGGAUGUGUUAUUGGUAAUCUUCUGUUACUAGUAAUUCCUAAGGAUGUCUGUACCAACAUGACACCACUCUAAGUGUUGGGUGGCAGUGCCCCAUCUCGCCUUUACAUAUACCAGGCUUACUGGAAAACUACGAUCUGUUGCUCUUCACACGUGUUAGAAGCACGGUAGUCAAACAUGGACACAGUCUAACAUACAUCCACGCUAGCUCUAUUUCUGUUUCUAGUGAGGCACAUCAGAUAUGUACCUGGGAUUUACAUGCCCUGUCUGAAGUUUGUAGUGAUUGGCUCAGAAGGGCUCUCAAUUCACUGCUGCUUUUAGGAAUACCUGAAAACAACUGAGCAAUUUGAACUGUGAUCUGCAUAAGAUGUUCAGGUUAAUUCUCCAAGUGGGACAAGAAUAAUAGAAAAUUCUGUGUGAGUGCCUGUGAGAAGACAUCACUACGUCUAAAGGGAUAUGGCUUCUAAUUUGACUCUUGCCUGCCCUUUUGACAUUUAGAGUGAAACCUCUCUGUGACCUGUCAGUGUGAUUUGGCUUUGUAUAAAGGGAUCCAGCGUCACCUUCUGAGGACACAAACCAAUCAUUAUUCUCCGUGGACCCCAAGCGUUAUUACCUCCAGAGUGUCCAUUUUCCCACAGCCAAAGCCCCUCUGCGUGCUUCCUGGAACGGGCUUUUCACUGGUACCGCCGGUUUCCAUAGCUUCCCUCCUCACCCAGAAAAUCCCCAGGACUGUAGAGUUAGCAGGGCAGUGCCCAAGUGUCAACGCCAAAAGAGAUUUUCAAGAGUUUAGCUCAGCCUGCUAAGUACAGAUUACAUCAUCAGGAUUUUCAUCAUAAUAAAUUUUAAUUUCCUUUUUCUUUCCAAGGAGAGAGAGAGAGAGAGAGAGAGAGAGAGAGAGAGAGAGAGAGAGAGAGACUUAAACAUGUGAGAAGGAGACAUUCACUCAGAAAUAGAGUCAAGUCCAGUGUUUGUACAUUGUGUAUGAAGCAGUUUUCCCAAGGAAGGGCACAUUAAAGAUUUCUGAAUGGAGAGGGAAGGAGGGCUGCCAGGCCCUUAAGGGAUGUCCGAGGGUGAAAGCUGCAUGUAAAGGUCAUUGGGAAAGACCUGCAUUCUCCUUAGUUUCUUGCAAACAAAUUAGGUGUGGAAAGGGGCCUGUCCCUGUGCCUGAGUGCUCAGACCCAAACAGCUCCUUUGCUCAAUGAUAGUUCUUGGCGAGUGUGUUUCCUUAUAUUUCAAGAUUAGCUUAAGUAAUGAAAGCAGUUAACUUCAUUUUUCAAAUGACCUAAGUUUGUAAUGAAGUUUAAAAAAAUUGUCCAAAUAAAUAUACAGAAAUAGAGUGACACCCAAUCUUCAGGAUCCUUGGAGAGUUAUGACUCUGGAUAUAGACAAACAGCACUUGCUGUGCCAAAACCAGCUUCCAAGUAAACUGAAUGUUUUAACUGGUAAAGGAGAUUCAUAUGGCAAGAUUUUUAUAUACUAUAAAAGACUGCCCACCAAAAAGAAAAAUUUCCAAGACCUUCAUAAAAGUCAUCCAAACAGAUCCUGUCAUUAGUUUGCUGUCUGUCUGUCUAGAGAGAAGGAGAGGAUCCUUCAGGUAAGAGGCUGUGUGUCAGCACACCCCACCCUUCUCUUUUCUAACCUUCAAAUGACUUCUCUGCUUCUUUCUGCCUGUAACAUUGCUUCGGUGCCAAUAAUUUAUUUAUUGGGCUUUCCCCUGUUUGUGCACAUUUAAAGUUUUCCCAGGCAUUUACUCUAACUUUCCAAGAAAUAUGUUCCUUUUAAGAAUAACCAUGGGCACAUUAUUUAACCUGUUUCUUUUCCCCUAUUUGUUAACUGGAGACAGUAACCCUGUUUAUCUGUGCCAAAUGUUUUCUUUAAAAAAAAAUGAGGUUUUUAUUUAUUCUUUGAUAAUUCCAUGUAAAUAUAUUUUGAUUUUAUUUUUCCUCUCCCCAAAGUCUUUCCAAACAAUCCCUCACCUUCCUACCUACCCAAAAACAUAUUCCCUUUAAAAACAACAGUAACAAAAAUAUGAAAACGUGGAGUUCAGUUUAUGUUGACCGACUACUCUCUGGCAUGGCGCCUGCCCUGUGGCUGAUGUACUCAGUGUCACUCGAUUGGAGAAAACUGACUCUCCCUCACCCAGCAGUGGUCAAAUGCCAAUAGCUGUUUAGCUAAGAGUAGAACUUCCUUAGGGUGGGACUUUCUGCCUAUCUCCCCAGCUCCAGUUUGGAUUUUGUAUGGCUUGAGCUUCUGCAGCUCUUGUGCUGUCUGUCAGAGUGUGCUGGCUUGUUUUAUGUCAACCUGACACAGGCUAGAGUCAUUUGAGAGAAGCAAAUUUCAACUGAGAAAAUGUCUCCAUAAGAUCAGGCUGUGGGCAGGUCCAUAGGGCAUUUCCUUAACCAGUGAUUGAUGGGGGAAAGCCCACUGUAUUGUGGGUGGUACCACUCCUGGGUUGGUGUCUUGGUUUCUAUAAGAACGUAGGCUGAGCAAGCCGUGAGGAACAGGCCAGGAAGCAGCACCCCCCCCCCCCACAUGGCCUCUGCAUCAGCUCCUGCCUCCAUGUACAUUCCUGCCCUGUUUGAGUUCCUGCCUUGGCUUCUCUCAAUGAGCUGUGACAUGCAAGCCAAAUAAACUUUUUUCUCCACGAGUUGUUUUGGUCACAGUGUUUUAUCAUAGCAAUAGAAACCCUAAGACACAUAGUCUCUGUGAGUUUCUAUGCACAUCUGUCCCGUUGUAUCUGGAAAAUGCUGUCAUUGAAGUUAUCUACAACCUCUGGCUCUUCCAUUCUUUCUGUUCCAUCUUUUACCCAGAUCUCUGAGCCUUGAGGGGAAAGGCACUAUAUAGACAUUCCAUUGAGGGAUGAGCAUUCUCAAGUAUCUUAUUCUCUGUUCGUUGACUAGUUGCAGUUUUCUUUUUCAAUUGCCAUCUAGGGCAAGAAGGAGCUUCUACGUUGAGAGUUUAGCAAUGCACGAAUCUAUGGAUAUAGCAAUGUGCCAUUAGGAGUUACUUUUAUUACUGUGUUCAUUAAGCAGAAUAAUUGUAGUGGCUUUUCCAUAGGGCCCAUUAUUUAUCAAACCUCAGGUUCUAGACUUCAUUGGAGUCAGGUAUGGGUUCCACUUCAUGGAGUGGGCCUUAAAUCCAACCAAAAGGUUGUUGGCUACUCCCAUAACAUUCAUGUCUCUAUUGCACCAGUGGGCAGAUAUUUUGCCAGGCAGGUUGCUGUUCACACAGGAUUCAUAUCUGGGUGAAAUUGAUGAUUUUCUCUUCUGUUACUGAAUUUAGCAUUUUCUAGCACAUUUUCUAGCUAGUAAGGAUGAAGGUGAGUACCAGCUGAGUACCAGAUUUCUCCAUGUUCUAUGGAGUCUAUGGCAUAUGUAUGUGGAGUCUUACCAUCAAGUUGUGGAGGGUAACCAAUGACAUUGGCAAUAGCCUGUAAUGUUAGGGGCCUCAUUGGCCCAAAUCUCAAAACGUUGCCACCCAUUCCUGGUACCAGGGUUUUAUCUGCUAUCAUAUGGUGUGUAGUUGGGAUAUUAUUCCUCCAUUAUAGGGUAACUCCAUAUAAAUUCCUUUUAUCUAUGGCAAACACUUUUAAUUGACUGGCUAGUAACUCUGCACUUCUUUUAAGUUUUAGAGAUUUAUCUUUGACUUUGUGAACAUAUAACAUGUUCAAAUGGAUUGAACCCCUGCCCUAAUUGUUUAAGAUUUUUAAAAAAGUUUGUGUUUUUGGUUUCUCACCAGUACUAAGUGUUAGGACACUAUUGCUGAUGAUACCACAUGCUUUGCUUUUUGGGCAGAGAAAAGACAAGCUGGAACUGCACUGGAAGCUUCCUUCAAGAUAUGUCCAUUGAUGCAAUAGUAACAAGAAUGUUACAUGGGUAACCAACCCCUUUCCAUGGGAGAGAAUUCACGCCCUGGUACUGUAAACCUGGUCAAAAUCCUGUGGCUGAGGAAGGCAUUGGCUCUAGUACAGAAGAUACUACUGUUGUUUUGGUAAAUAGACAUGCGUGCCUGUCAAGUUGCCUUCUAAGUGUUUCUGUUUUAUUCCUGUGGAUGAAUCCUCCUGCCAUCUUCUAUGAUCAGAGAAGCUUCUUUUUGCGGUGGGAGGCAGCGAAUACAGACUCUUAAGUGGUCAAAGUGCUGAGAAUAAUUGACUGUUGAGUGCACAGCCAUAAAGAGGACAUGCACAUCAACUAACUUCUCGAAGGUCCAGGAAACACGGUAACUUUUGAUUUUUGUGAUCAUUUAAAAAAAUCAGUAGGUUCUUGUAAGACCUCGUCUGCUCCAUUUGUAAACAAUAAAAAUAAAACGGACACCAUAAAUACUUUGAUUGUGUGUA
Long non-coding RNA from Peromyscus californicus insignis, 30539 nucleotides. RefSeq lists it as uncharacterized. The transcript is spliced from 3 exons. The record is from RefSeq and is a predicted model, not a curated record. Lineage: Eukaryota; Metazoa; Chordata; Mammalia; Rodentia; Cricetidae.